Molecule: RNA transcript, 1918 nt
Organism: Cucumis melo (muskmelon)
Lineage: Eukaryota; Viridiplantae; Streptophyta; Magnoliopsida; Cucurbitales; Cucurbitaceae
Gene name: DNA excision repair protein ERCC-1-like
Exons: 5
Source: RefSeq, a predicted model, not a curated record
UUUAAUUUAACUUUUUUCCCCCAAAUUUCUCCUUCUCCCCCAAUCUUCCGUCUGACGCGCGGUAAGCUUGUUCGACAUCAUCUCUUCCGUCUGCGUGGUGUUCAUCGUCGCUCGCAAGCCGCCGCUGCCUCUUCUGUCUGCGUGUUGUUUCGUCGUUGCUCGUGGUCAUCGUCACUCGUUGCUCGUGGUUGCGCGUUCUGUUCGUGGUCGCUCGCAAGUCGUCGUCGCGCGUUCUGUUCCGUCUGCGCAGGUUCUCGCAAGCAGCCGCCGCCUUUUCCGUUUGCACAGAAGGAAAAUCCUCUUCUCAAACACAUCAGGAAUGUGAGAUGGGUUUUUGCAGAUGUAGUACCUGAUUAUUUACUUGGGCAAAGCUCUUGUGCUCUCUAUCUAAGGGGUUUCAUACUUGUGUUGGAUCUGGUGGGGAAAGGCAAACACCAGAAUGGUAAAGGACAAAGAUAUUGAGGAUGAAGAAGAUGUGAAGGCCAUUGCUCGAUUAUUUGCUGAUAUGGGAGAUUCAUAUGUUGAAUUGAUUGCUACUAGUAAUAGAUUUUGUUACGUAGUUGAGGUACUUCACACCCUGAAUUGGAUAUUGCCUCCAUGACCUUUCAUUUUUGGCACAGCCUGCAGUUGAAUUUGACAAAAAGGUUAUUUAUUCUGAGCCCUUUAUUAUCAACUACGAUUCUUUUAGACCACAAACAUAUCGACCGUAUUUUGUGGAAAGGGAACUGUUUCAUAAGUUUUAGCACUUUAACCGAAGAUAAUAGUCAUGAUGUUUGAUUAUAGCAACGCAAGGUGUUUUGCUACAUUAGUCUCGUGCUCUUUCAAGAAUUUUAGUAGAUGAAGUUGAAUGAGAAGUUUGAUUGUCUACCAAUCUCUCUCUGUCUCUCUGCAAUUUUUUUUUAGAAAAAAGGAGCAUACUUCUGGUAACAGUCACCUAUUGUGAAUUUGUGUUAUUUUCAUUCUUCAUAAGGUUAAAAAGGUUUUUUCGAUGGAGAAGCACUAUGUGAGUUAACUGUUUCAUCUACUGUGAACAUUUUUGUUUGUUCGUUUCAUUUCAAUUUCAAUAUUGGCACUUUACUAGUUUACUUCUCUUCUAUCUAUAGAAGACUUGUGUUUACUUUUGUAAAAUCUAAUAAUUAUUGCCGUUCUUUUGUACUUGUUUACAAAUUUGGUGUGCUUUAUCAUUUGGUAGUAAUGUCAACAUGCUCUCUUCAUUGAAAUUAGUAUAUGUGUUUGUUUUGGUAGGGCAAUUUGGAUUCUUUCAUCUAUCAUUCACAAUAUAUUUUCUUUAGUAUAAUUAUAUACCCUUUCUUUCAUUUUCUAGUUUACUGUUUGUUAUUCUGGUUGUUAUAAAUGUGGUCAACCGUAAACAACCAUGUUUAUAAACUCAAAAGAUCAAGAAUUUUUAUUUUCCACUUUUUGUAUCUCCUUGCGUCUUACAAAGAGAGAAAGAUCAUAUUGAAGGUUUUGCUCCUGAGAUGAUGUUUUAUAUAUAAGCAACAAUAGAGAAACUUUCUAUUUGAAUUUGAAAUGCUUAUUAUAUUUUUAUUUGUUUGUUUGUUUGUUUUAAUUAUUAUUUAACUGUAAAACAAUCUCUUUGCAGGAAAGAUUAGAUCACUUUAAUGAUUGAAAGAUCUGUUGUACUCUUUACCCUUAUAAAUGGUAACUGUAAAACAAUCUCUUUGCAGGAAAGUUAGUGCUUGUAAAGUAUAGCGAGUAAUUCUUCCUCAUACUUCAUUAUAUGUAUUAAGGUGUGUUGGGCAUAAAACUUUUUAGUGCACAUCAAUGAGCUUUUAAAUCCUUUGCAAAUGUACGUACCUCUCACUGUGUUAUAGUUUUAUUGCCUCAUAAUGUAAAGGUUGUUGAGAAAGAAGACUUUGAAGAAGCUAUAAAAUUGAAACUAUUUGUGUUAUAGUUU